This 592-nucleotide ribosomal RNA is filed under the name Salmonella enterica subsp. enterica serovar Anatum. RNAcentral describes it as "partial 23S ribosomal RNA". It matches the Rfam family "Bacterial large subunit ribosomal RNA", at positions 597 to 1190 of the family's 2925-position model. The record is from RNAcentral. Lineage: Bacteria; Pseudomonadati; Pseudomonadota; Gammaproteobacteria; Enterobacterales; Enterobacteriaceae.
CUGCGUACCUUUUGUAUAAUGGGUCAGCGACUUAUAUUCUGUAGCAAGGUUAACCGAAUAGGGGAGCCGGAGGGAAACCGAGUCUUAAUUGGGCGUUAAGUUGCAGGGUAUAGACCCGAAACCCGGUGAUCUAGCCAUGGGCAGGUUGAAGGUUGGGUAACACUAACUGGAGGACCGAACCGACUAAUGUUGAAAAAUUAGCGGAUGACCUGUGGCUGGGGGUGAAAGGCCAAUCAAACCGGGAGAUAGCUGGUUCUCCCCGAAAGCUAUUUAGGUAGCGCCUCGUGAAUUCAUCUCCGGGGGUAGAGCACUGUUUCGGCUAGGGGGCCAUCCCGGCUUACCAACCCGAUGCAAACUGCGAAUACCGGAGAAUGUUAUCACGGGAGACACACGGCGGGUGCUAACGUCCGUCGUGAAGAGGGAAACAACCCAGACCGCCAGCUAAGGUCCCAAAGUCAUGGUUAAGUGGGAAACGAUGUGGGAAGGCCCAGACAGCCAGGAUGUUGGCUUAGAAGCAGCCAUCAUUUAAAGAAAGCGUAAUAGCUCACUGGUCGAGUCGGCCUGCGCGGAAGAUGUAACGGGGCUAAACCAU